Molecule: long non-coding RNA, 258 nt
Filed under: Rattus norvegicus (Norway rat)
Lineage: Eukaryota; Metazoa; Chordata; Mammalia; Rodentia; Muridae
Description: long non-coding RNA NONRATT025850
Source: RNAcentral
GAGAGCACAUCCUCUGUACACCAUCAGGGGUGGGGUCUGGCAGCUGGUUUAAGACCAUGCAGAGAAGAGGCUGUGGUAAGUGGCCUAUGAGUUUGAUGGUCAUUUCAGACAAGUUACAUUGGAGGCUUCCAUUGAAUCCUGGCUCAGUUUUCAUAGCUGCAAGCUUUUCAGAAUAAGUGGAGACAUCAGAAUAAUCAGUUUGUCAUCCCAUCUAUUGAAAAUAGAAAGUAUAUUGGUAAUAAAAUAAUGAUUCAUCAA